AUUAGCAAAUUAAUCUGUGUGAGGAAUUCCCACUGAAAAUCAAACCCCAAUUCUUGUCUGGCAAUGUUGCUGUUUCUCCUUUAAAGAAUUUUUUGGCUAAACAGUUGUUUGGGGUGGAGUUACUGCAACAGAUCCUUUCAGUUUCAGGGUUUUUUUCCUCUCUGCUCUUAGACGAAAGGAUAUCCAGCAGAAUAAAAAGACAAGGAGAGAGCAAGUUCGCAAAAAUUGGUAAGAGAUCUUCACUCCUAAAAGGGGGAGAUUUCAAGAGUUUCUAGGAUUUUCCUUAGUGUUACCUGGGUCUCCUGUAAGAGAGGCAGCAGAGGAAAGAACCACAUAGCAGGAGUAUGCUAGCCAUUGAGUAGGAAACAAAAAUAUUUUAUAUGCAUUUCACAUUUCCAAGUUCCUGCUCUCUUGCUACUUUGUUGUGCAGAGGUUUCUUUCACAGCCUUCUCUCCUGCUGCAAGUUCCCUCUUUUCAAAAUACCACUGUGUGCAAUUUUGCAGUAUCUGGCAGAGAAAGGAUUCAGCACAUGGACCAUACCAAACCCAGAAGCUGCCUCAAUUUCCCCCCAUGACUGAUGAUUGCUUCUGUUUAUAUGUUUGCAAUUAAGUGAUAAAACAUUAAUUUCUUUGUUCAGGGUAAUUUACCAUCUUUCAUGAAAUAGAAGACUCAGAAGGGCCAUGAGGAUUGCAGAACCUGGUGUGUCUUGAAAAGCAGCAAGGCCAUUGGACAAACUCUACAAAAGAAAGAUGAUUUCCCUCUCUCAGAAGAGACUAUCACAUCACCUCAAGCUCUUAAAGACGUUCAGUCUUUCAACACGCUGGUUAUCUGUGACUAUUGCAGCAUUCUGCUGCCACUUCCAACCCUUCAGAAACACGAGACCGUCCAGGCUGGGGUCUCUGCAGGAGCAGUGCUCCGGAUCUACUCCAGCAUCAGCCAGCCAGCAGAGCUGACAGAGUGUGAGUUCAUUUCGUGGGACAGUGAGGAGUACCCACCUGCACCCCCUGAGGCACCUGCACCUGCCAUGCCCUGAGUGCACACCUGCAUCUGCCCAGAUGCACAACUGAGCUGCAGGGCUGUGCCUCACAGGGCUGGGACUCCUUCGCUGGGUGAUGUGACUUUUCCUACAAUAAGCUCAAUCUCUACAAGAGAGCCCAGGAAGGCAAUUUGCUCUUUAAAUGACCCCAAUGUACAUUGGGUGUAUUGAAGAAAAAAGCCAUUUCCUAGUGACUAAAUCUCAUUAAAAAAGCAAUUUUCCAAUCAAUUACAGUGCAAUUUAGCUGCUAACUAUUUAAUUAUCAAAAAAGAAGCUAUUUUGUACUUUGUUCCUGUAUUUAUGAACCAUGUUUUAAAAUUUCAUCUUCAGAGUUUUGAAUGGAUGAAUGUGACUACUCUAUUGAUGCAAUUAUUGUAAAAUUACAACUUCAACUUCAAUGUAUUGUAUUAGUUCAAGGAAAUAUUGUUUGCACAGAAGCUUUUGAAAUAGGAGAAUCAUUGAUUUCUACAAGAGCUUGAAUCAUUACUGUUAUUUUUCAUGCACUAUAAAAUUGCAUUAUCUUAUGUGGAUUUUAUUAGAGGAGCAUUGGGAUUAUUUUGUUUGUUUGUUUACUUUUAUUUUCUUAAUCUUGUGUAAGAAUUUCAGUUCUGGAAACAUGCUGAAACUAGAGAAAGGUUCCUCUUGAAAAAAGAACUUGUGUCUCUGGAGAGACCGAAAAGGUACAUUGCAGGGGUGGUUUGUGAGAGCUGGGAUGCUGGGCCUGGUUGUGAGAUCCUGUCUCAGGGUGAGCACCAUGGUGGAGCACAUAGGGCUCAGUGUCGAAAACAGGAAAACAUUUGAGUAGCAAGGCUCACACAUCUUGCAAUUUUUAUUUGAAAUCUUGCAUGCUUGCUGUUUCUUUUUAAAGCUCCAGUCCCAAAAGUUGUUUGAGAGGAAGAAGGGAGCUGAGAGUGAGG
Long non-coding RNA from Parus major (Great Tit), 1953 nucleotides. Lineage: Eukaryota; Metazoa; Chordata; Aves; Passeriformes; Paridae. The record is from Ensembl.